GUCGCGCGCAUAGAGGUAUCUUGCGACUGAUCUAAUUGGCGGACGGGUGAGUAAUGCUUAGGAAUCUGCCUAUUAGUGGGGGACAACAUUUCGAAAGGAAUGCUAAUACCGCAUACGUCCUACGGGAGAAAGCAGGGGAUCUUCGGACCUUGCGCUAAUAGAUGAGCCUAAGUCGGAUUAGCUAGUUGGUGGGGUAAAGGCCUACCAAGGCGACGAUCUGUAGCGGGUCUGAGAGGAUGAUCCGCCACACUGGGACUGAGACACGGCCCAGACUCCUACGGGAGGCAGCAGUGGGGAAUAUUGGACAAUGGGCGGAAGCCUGAUCCAGCCAUGCCGCGUGUGUGAAGAAGGCCUUAUGGUUGUAAAGCACUUUAAGCGAGGAGGAGGCUACUUUAGUUAAUACCUAGAGAUAGUGGACGUUACUCGCAGAAUAAGCACCGGCUAACUCUGUGCCAGCAGCCGCGGUAAUACAGAGGGUGCAAGCGUUAAUCGGAUUUACUGGGCGUAAAGCGCGCGUAGGCGGCUAAUUAAGUCAAAUGUGAAAUCCCCGAGCUUAACUUGGGAAUUGCAUUCGAUACUGGUUAGCUAGAGUGUGGGAGAGGAUGGUAGAAUUCCAGGUGUAGCGGUGAAAUGCGUAGAGAUCUGGAGGAAUACCGAUGGCGAAGGCAGCCAUCUGGCCUAACACUGACGCUGAGGUGCGAAAGCAUGGGGAGCAAACAGGAUUAGAUACCCUGGUAGUCCAUGCCGUAAACGAUGUCUACUAGCCGUUGGGGCCUUUGAGGCUUUAGUGGCGCAGCUAACGCGAUAAGUAGACCGCCUGGGGAGUACGGUCGCAAGACUAAAACUCAAAUGAAUUGACGGGGGCCCGCACAAGCGGUGGAGCAUGUGGUUUAAUUCGAUGCAACGCGAAGAACCUUACCUGGCCUUGACAUAGUAAGAACUUUCCAGAGAUGGAUUGGUGCCUUCGGGAACUUACAUACAGGUGCUGCAUGGCUGUCGUCAGCUCGUGUCGUGAGAUGUUGGGUUAAGUCCCGCAACGAGCGCAACCCUUUUCCUUAUUUGCCAGCGAGUAAUGUCGGGAACUUUAAGGAUACUGCCAGUGACAAAUG
RNAcentral lists this ribosomal RNA (1109 nucleotides) under Acinetobacter calcoaceticus. RNAcentral describes it as "bacterial SSU rRNA". It matches the Rfam family "Bacterial small subunit ribosomal RNA", at positions 61 to 1164 of the family's 1533-position model. Lineage: Bacteria; Pseudomonadati; Pseudomonadota; Gammaproteobacteria; Moraxellales; Moraxellaceae. The record is from RNAcentral.